Molecule: ribosomal RNA, 253 nt
Filed under: uncultured bacterium
Lineage: Bacteria
Description: partial 16S ribosomal RNA
Rfam family: Bacterial small subunit ribosomal RNA
Source: RNAcentral
UACAGAGGUGGCAAGCGUUGUUCGGAAUUACUGGGCGUAAAGGGCGCGUAGGCGGCUUGGUCAGUCCCGUGUGAAAUCCCUCGGCUCAACUGAGGAACUGCACGGGAAACUGCCUGGCUUGAGUUCGGGAGAGGGAAGCGGAAUUCCGGGUGUAGCGGUGAAAUGCGUAGAGAUGUGGAGGAACACCGAUGGCGAAGGCAGCCCCCUGGGUCAACACUGACGCUCAUGCACGAAAGCGUGGGGAGCAAACAGG